UAUGAGGUGGACGAUUAAUAAGUCGGUAGAUUGUAAGUCUAUGAAUGGGUAAGUACUCUCUCGUAA
This 66-nucleotide transfer RNA is filed under the name Bathothauma lyromma. Its description in RNAcentral is "tRNA-Tyr". The record is from RNAcentral. Lineage: Eukaryota; Metazoa; Mollusca; Cephalopoda; Oegopsida; Cranchiidae.